This 1483-nucleotide ribosomal RNA is filed under the name uncultured bacterium. Its description in RNAcentral is "bacterial SSU rRNA". It matches the Rfam family "Bacterial small subunit ribosomal RNA". The record is from RNAcentral.
CUGGCUCAGGAUGAACGCUAGCGACAGGCUUAACACAUGCAAGUCGAGGGGCAGCGGUGGUGAAGGCUUGCCUUUACCAGCCGGCGACCGGCGCACGGGUGAGUAACACGUAUGCAACCUGCCUGCCACAGCCGGAUAAUCGGGAGAAAUUCCGUCUAAUACGGCAUAAUGCAUCGACGGGACAUCCUGUUGGUGCCAAAGGUUGAUUCCGGUGGCGGAUGGGCAUGCGUCGCAUUAGUUAGUUGGCGGUGUAACGGACCACCAAGACGACGAUGCGUAGGGGUUCUGAGAGGAAGGUCCCCCACACUGGUACUGAGACACGGACCAGACUCCUACGGGAGGCAGCAGUGAGGAAUAUUGGUCAAUGGGCGGGAGCCUGAACCAGCCAAGUCGCGUGAGGGAUGACGGCCCUAUGGGUUGUAAACCUCUUUUGCCGGGGAGCAAAGUGCCGCACGUGUGCGGUUUGGAGAGUACCCGGAGAAAAAGCAUCGGCUAACUCCGUGCCAGCAGCCGCGGUAAUACGGAGGAUGCGAGCGUUAUCCGGAUUUAUUGGGUUUAAAGGGUGCGUAGGCGGACGCUUAAGUCAGCGGUAAAAUUGCGGGGCUCAACCUCGUCGAGCCGUUGAAACUGGGUGCCUUGAGUGGGCGAGAAGUACGCGGAAUGCGUGGUGUAGCGGUGAAAUGCAUAGAUAUCACGCAGAACUCCGAUUGCGAAGGCAGCGUACCGGCGCCCAACUGACGCUGAAGCACGAAGGCGUGGGUAUCGAACAGGAUUAGAUACCCUGGUAGUCCACGCAGUAAACGAUGAAUGCUAGUUGUCCGGGGCGAUUGAGUUCUGGGUGACACAGCGAAAGCGUUAAGCAUUCCACCUGGGGAGUACGCCGGCAACGGUGAAACCCAAAGGAAUUGACGGGGGCCUGCACAAGCGGAGGAACAUGUGGUUUAAUUCGAUGAUACGCGAGGAACCUUACCCGGGCUCAAACGCAGGAGAGAUGUUUUUGAAAGGAGGCAGCCAGCAAUGGUCUCUUGCGAGGUGCUGCAUGGUUGUCGUCAGCUCGUGCCGUGAGGUGUCGGCUUAAGUGCCAUAACGAGCGCAACCCCUACCUACAGUUGCCAUCGCGUGAUGGCGGGCACUCUGUGGGGACUGCCUGCGCAAGCAGUGAGGAAGGCGGGGAUGACGUCAAAUCAGCACGGCCCUUACGUCCGGGGCGACACACGUGUUACAAUGGCAGAUACAGCGGGAAGCCACCCGGCGACGGGGCGCGGAACCCGAAAACCUGUCUCAGUUCGGAUUGGAGUCUGCAACCCGACUCCAUGAAGCUGGAUUCGCUAGUAAUCGCGCAUCAGCCACGGCGCGGUGAAUACGUUCCCGGGCCUUGUACACACCGCCCGUCAAGCCAUGGAAGCCGGGGGUGCCUGAAGUGCGUGACCGCAAGGAGCGCCCUAGGGUAAAACCGGUGACUGGGGAUAAGUCGUAACAAGGU